Molecule: transfer RNA, 69 nt
Filed under: Ictidomys tridecemlineatus (thirteen-lined ground squirrel)
Lineage: Eukaryota; Metazoa; Chordata; Mammalia; Rodentia; Sciuridae
Description: Spermophilus tridecemlineatus (thirteen-lined ground squirrel) tRNA
Rfam family: tRNA
About the family: Transfer RNA (tRNA) molecules are approximately 80 nucleotides in length. Their secondary structure includes four short double-helical elements and three loops (D, anti-codon, and T loops). Further hydrogen bonds mediate the characteristic L-shaped molecular structure. tRNAs have two regions of fundamental functional importance: the anti-codon, which is responsible for specific mRNA codon recognition, and the 3' end, to which the tRNAs corresponding amino acid is attached (by aminoacyl-tRNA synthetases). tRNAs cope with the degeneracy of the genetic code in two manners: having more than one tRNA (with a specific anti-codon) for a particular amino acid; and 'wobble' base-pairing, i.e. permitting non-standard base-pairing at the 3rd anti-codon position.
Source: Rfam by way of RNAcentral
GGGCUUGUGGCUCAGCGGCAGAGCCCUUGCCUUGCACGCAGGAGGCCCUGGGUUUGAUCCUCAGCACCA